RNAcentral lists this ribosomal RNA (428 nucleotides) under uncultured bacterium. RNAcentral's name for it is "bacterial SSU rRNA". It matches the Rfam family "Bacterial small subunit ribosomal RNA", at positions 28 to 440 of the family's 1533-position model. The record is from RNAcentral.
GACUAACGCUGGCGGCGUGCCUAACACAUGCAAGUCGAACGAGUUGAUUUAUAGUAGCAAUAUUGUAGAUCGGCAAGUGGCGAACGGGUGAGUAACACGUAGAUAAUCUGCCUUUUAGACGGGGACAACUCAGGGAAACUUGUGCUAAUACCCGAUGAGACUACGGAGGGGGACCUCUGCAGCCAAAAGUGGGCGUAAGCUCACGCUGAAAGAUGAGUCUGCGUCCUAUCAGCUAGUUGGUGGGGUAAAAGCCUACCAAGGCGAAGACGGGUAGCCGGCCUGAGAGGGUGAACGGCCACACUGGGACUGAGACACGGCCCAGACUCCUACGGGAGGCAGCAGUGAGGAAUUUUCCGCAAUGGGCGCAAGCCUGACGGAGCGACGCCGCGUGAGGGAUGACGGCCUUCGGGUUGUAAACCUCUUUUAUU